RNAcentral lists this ribosomal RNA (280 nucleotides) under uncultured prokaryote. RNAcentral describes it as "partial 16S ribosomal RNA". It matches the Rfam family "Bacterial small subunit ribosomal RNA", at positions 524 to 803 of the family's 1533-position model. The record is from RNAcentral.
UACGUAGGGGCUAGCGUUAUCCGGAAUUGCUGGGCGUAAAGGGUGCGUAGGUGGUUUCUUAAGUCAGAGGUGAAAGGCUACGGCUCAACCGUAGUAAGCCUUUGAAACUGGGAAACUUGAGUGCAGGAGAGGAGAGUGGAAUUCCUAGUGUAGCGGUGAAAUGCGUAGAUAUUAGGAGGAACACCAGUUGCGAAGGCGGCUCUCUGGACUGUAACUGACACUGAGGCACGAAAGCGUGGGGAGCAAACAGGAUUAGAUACCCCGGUAGUCCCUGAGCGGG